RNAcentral lists this small RNA (126 nucleotides) under Desulfitobacterium dichloroeliminans. RNAcentral's name for it is "c-di-AMP sequence". It matches the Rfam family "c-di-AMP riboswitch aptamer (ydaO/yuaA leader)". From Rfam's summary of the family: This family represents a conserved RNA structure found upstream of the ydaO and yuaA genes in Bacillus subtilis and related genes in other bacteria. The record is from RNAcentral. Lineage: Bacteria; Bacillati; Bacillota; Clostridia; Eubacteriales; Desulfitobacteriaceae.
UUUUAUAAGGUGCUGAGUUCUUUAAGAAGCGGGGGAACCACUUUUUGGGGUGAAUCUAAUCGAUAUAGUAGGGGCAGCUACUCCUAACCCGACAGCUAACCUCGUAAGCAUAAAGCCACAAAACGU